AUGGACUUAAAGCCUACUACAUAAGAAUCUUUGUAAUGGUAACCCAACCUUGCUGACUGGAUAUCCCAAAAUCUUGGUUCAACGGGACAACUAAGUUAUGAAGAUUCAAUAAGCACUUCGGAGUUAACUCCUACCCAUUCAUAUGAUAAGGAAGUGCUAUCUGCAGAAAGUUUUAGGUUAAGUUAUACUUUUAAUGAUUCCUAUAUUUUGGACUACCUAAGUGAGUACGACAGGUACUCUUAAUAGGAGAUCACCUAUACAAGUGUGAAGUGUGGCUGCUUCUAUGAGAAUGUUUCAAAGGCUUGAAUUCUCUAAAGCACUUAUGAAAUCCAAGAAUUGUUCAGGGCCAAAAUGAACACAACAGUGAGAACUCGAAAAUAUUAGGAAGGUUAUUGUGUUGAUACUAUUGUCUUGGGUUACAAAAAUGGCUGACAGUUCAAAACACCGCGUUCACUUAUUAGCCAAGUAAAUCCGAUAGUAUUCUACUACGGAAGGUUCAAACCCAUAAGGUACCUAUCCAGAUGCGAUAACAUUCCGCCUGAUCUCUCUAUAGGGUUUGCAUAGUUAAUUGCAUUAAUUUCCAUUCAUAUGGGGGAUUGUUGGAAAAAUUGGUUUUAAUUAGUUGGUUUGACCAACUUUUGACCAAUUAAUUUAGUGGGUCCCGUUAAUCGGAAAUAAGAUUUCUUUGGCCGAAUGUGUUCUACUCCAUGAGUAUAUUAAUAUGGUAUAUUUAUUUUCUCAAAACCAAUUUAGGGUGAAUAAGAAAUUAAGGCCAAAAGAUGCCCACUUGAUGUUGAAAUAAAAUAGGUGGGAAAUUGGAAAAUACCAAUCCCACAUAGAAAAACUAGAAGAAUAUAAACCACCUUAUAUAGCUCAAGUUUGAGACUUGGGUUUGGGCCCCAUGGGGUACCAAUAGUCUUUGAGGGGUAGAGAACCUACAUGCUAGUAGGUUAAGCCAAAGCCUACAUGCGCGCGUCGCACCGCCGUCCGACCGGCCGGCUCGGCUCGACUCGGCACGGUCGUGGGUCGUGGGCUUGGGCCAAGUUGAU
RNAcentral lists this long non-coding RNA (1049 nucleotides) under Olea europaea (common olive). RNAcentral describes it as "long non-coding RNA (OEUR_LNC011806)". The record is from RNAcentral. Lineage: Eukaryota; Viridiplantae; Streptophyta; Magnoliopsida; Lamiales; Oleaceae.